GACGAACGCUGGCGGCGUGCUUAACACAUGCAAGUCGAACGGUGAAGCUCCAGCUUGCUGGAGUGGAUCAGUGGCGAACGGGUGAGUAACACGUGAGCAACCUGCCCCUGACUCUGGAAUAAGCGCUGGAAACGGUGUCUAAUACUGGAUACGAGAAGGGUCCGCAUGGGCACUUUCUGGAAAGUUUUUCGGUUGGGGAUGGGCUCGCGGCCUAUCAGCUUGUUGGUGAGGUAAUGGCUCACCAAGGCGACGACGGGUAGCCGGCCUGAGAGGGCGACCGGCCACACUGGGACUGAGACACGGCCCAGACUCCUACGGGAGGCAGCAGUGGGGAAUAUUGCACAAUGGGCGAAAGCCUGAUGCAGCGACGCCGCGUGAGGGAUGACGGCCUUCGGGUUGUAAACCUCUUUCAGCAGGGAAGAAGCGAAAGUGACGGUACCUGCAGAAGAAGCACCGGCUAACUACGUG
Molecule: ribosomal RNA, 468 nt
Filed under: uncultured bacterium
Lineage: Bacteria
Description: partial 16S ribosomal RNA
Rfam family: Bacterial small subunit ribosomal RNA
Source: RNAcentral